This 235-nucleotide ribosomal RNA is filed under the name uncultured bacterium. Its description in RNAcentral is "partial 16S ribosomal RNA". It matches the Rfam family "Bacterial small subunit ribosomal RNA", at positions 524 to 758 of the family's 1533-position model. The record is from RNAcentral.
UACGGAGGGAGCUAGCGUUGUUCGGAAUUACUGGGCGUAAAGCGCACGUAGGCGGCUUUUUAAGUCAGGGGUGAAAUCCCGGGGCUCAACCCCGGAACUGCCCUUGAAACUGGAGAGCUAGAAUCUUGGAGAGGCGAGUGGAAUUCCGAGUGUAGAGGUGAAAUUCGUAGAUAUUCGGAAGAACACCAGUGGCGAAGGCGACUCGCUGGACAAGUAUUGACGUGAGGUGACGAAA